Molecule: ribosomal RNA, 396 nt
Filed under: uncultured bacterium
Lineage: Bacteria
Description: bacterial SSU rRNA
Rfam family: Bacterial small subunit ribosomal RNA
Source: RNAcentral
UAUUGCACAAUGGGGAAACCCUGAUGCAGCGACGCCGCGUGAGCGAUGAAGUAUUUCGAUAUGUAAACUUCUAUCAGCAGGGAAGAAAGUGACGGUACCUGACUAAGAAGCCCCGGCUAACUACGUGCCAGCAGCCGCGGUAAUACGUAGGGGGCAAGCGUUAUCCGGAUUUACUGGGUGUAAAGGGAGCGUAGGCGGCGAUGCAAGUCAGAAGUGAAAGCCCGGGGCUCAACUGCGGGACUGCUUUUGAAACUGCCAGGCUAGAGUGUCGGAGAGGUAAGUGGAAUUCCUAGUGUAGCGGUGAAAUGCGUAGAUAUUAGGAGGAACACCAGUGGCGAAGGCGGCUUACUGGACGAUGACUGACGCUGAGGCUCGAAAGCGUGGGGAGCAAACAGG